AGUUUUUACAAAUUUUCCCCAUUAUUUUCCCGGUUCUUAAUUUAUACUUUUGUUAACAAGUGGUUGACUUUGUAUUUACAUUUAAAAACACCGAAACAUUGUCACUUUUCGUUUGGUGCAUUAAGGAAACGUUUCAAUGAUAUUUUUCACAUUUUAAUGAUGUUCAGUCUCUCCGAUAGGCACCUCUUCUUUCUCCCACCAUUUUUUCCCCUAAUUUAAAUGGUUAAUUUGACAUGCUUACUAUUUUUUUUAAUCUCUGUUUUCUGUUAUUAAUUGUUGUGUUUGAUUUUAGGGACACAACUUCAAAGCAUAAAAACCUAGAACUAUCUGAAAACCAAAACUGCAAGUUGUUUUUUAUUUUCAUUUUACUUUCUGCUUCCAAUUUGUGUUCUGUGUUUUCUUUAUUUCAUAUAUUUCUUUCUUUUUUGGCUUUCACUUUUCAGGAAACAGAGGUUUCUUCUCAUGAAACCUUGCAGCAAGUUGUUCUCCCAGGUCCAACACAGAUUCUGAUGUGUACCUCUCAUUUCUUUCAAGAAUUUGUUUGCUCAAGUGGUUGACAACUUUCAUUGUGAUUUGAUGGUUGGGUUUUGUACAUGAAAGCUUCUUAGAGAGCAACUUGGCUAUUGUUGGUGGCAGUGUACAGUUAAUUUGGAAGGAUUGUCAAGAGUUGGUCUAAAAUUUCCCACAGCCAAGGUGGGAUGCAAAAUUGGGUGUGGAUACAUAGCUUGAGGUAAUUCACAGUGAAAGCUCCUACCUAUGCCUUGGAAUUUUUUUAAGAGCAUGCUCUGUAAGUACUUUUAUUCUGUUUUGAGAUGAUUAAAGCUUUAUCAUAAUUAUCUCAUUGGAAUUUUGGCAUGGUUAAAAAAGGGGCAGCAAGGUAUAUAAAUGUGCACAUGCAUAAAUAUUUGUAUGUAUCAGUCCUGCCAAUUUGUAGUAAAGAAUUAUUAUCUUCAACUUUAAGAUUUAAAAUAUAUAUAUUGUUUCUUUAGCCAAUCUGAUUAUUUUGGUUUUGAUGUAAUAAUAUUAUUCUUAUUUUUCUUUUUGGAAGGCAUAACAAAUUGAAGAUAUACUGUAUGAUAGUAGGUCUAAAACAAAACUAAAAAAUUAAACUAAAAUCAAAGUAGAAAUCAUAUAUAUAUAUAUAUAUAUUGUUUUGCUUUCAAAGUUGGCGAAAUUAAUAAUGUCUAUCAUGUGUUGGAUGGAAUUCAUGAUAUAUGUAAUGGUUAGUGGAACUCAUUUGCUAUUUCAUAUAUCAAUGUUUAGUAUUUUUAAAAUAGGCAAAUACUUCCAUUCUUCAUAUUUUUAUAAUUGUUCUUGAUGCCUACAACGUCCCAUUAAAGAUUAUGCCACUUAGUUUAGUGUUUUGAAGUGCAUUGUUUUCCCAUAACGUUGUACUGUAACAAGAAUAAUUCAAGACGUUGGUUAUUGUGUCUUCUAUAUCACAGAGGUGUAACAAUGUAUAUUUUCUUUAUUUGUAAGCAGUCAAUUUACGUAUUUGCAAGAAAAUUUAGUAAGGACAAGUGAAAUGAUUUGUUGGUGGUAAUGUAGUUGAGAAGAUUUUGGAUUCAAAAGUCAACCUUUGUUUUUUUAAAUGUGAGCUAAUGUAAUUUUUUUUAUUCAAGGUUUUCUUAUAUAUUGUUCAAUAUACAUUUGGCAGUCAAAACAGAUUCAUUUCGAAUUGAAUAAAUUUUUUAUUUCAGUUGUUUUCAAUAACUGAAAUUUAGUUUGCUUUUGGACGAAUUCUGUCAGUUCAUCAGCAAUAAAAUAGUGCAGAAAACCGGGGUACAAUGCACAAUUAACCACUACAGGAAGAUAUUUUUAGUAGUUGGGAGCUGUCGGAGUGGGUGCCGUUAUAGAAAUUCAGUGUUUCUCCCAAUGAUUGCUAUGCAAAAAAAAGACAAUUUGAAAAUCCUCUAGAAGUUGAACUGGUAGCUGUUUUGCAUUGCUAGAAUUUUGCUCAUGAAGAACAGAAAAAGGCUUAUAUUUUAGAAGGUUAUUUUGGUAUUUUUGCUUUGGUAUAUGAAUGAAAAUAAUUAAUUAUUUACUGAGUUUUGCUUUUGUUUUUUUUUUUUUUUUAAUAAAUAUUCUGGAGUAUUUAAUAAAACCCAAUUUUUGGAUAUGUAAAUCCAAGUGCUAUUUGAGAAGAAUAGAAAGUAGUUCGUAGUGAAAUUUUUUUUUGAUGUUGUUUGUGCAGAAAUGGAAGUGUUUUUCUUUCAAAGUUCUUUUUGAUAAGUAAUUAAAGUAGAAUUAAUAGUCUAUCUAAAGUGAAGGAAAUGUCUAUACUUGGUGCCCGUUUGGGUAGAGCUGAAACUUGCGUUUCAGCUCUACGUUUUCCUACUUUUUUUUUUUUUUUUUCCUCUGCACGUGAACAGUAAAAGUACUGUGCAGAGGACAAAAAAUACUGUUCACGCACUGUUUACGCACUGUUCACGCACUAUUUAUGGGUCCCACGACACAAUAAGCUCAAUCCAAACGGACCUUUGGUGUAAAGAAGAAAUUUACCUCUAUUCUCUAAUAGUCUGAUGUAAAAAGUUAAGAAAACAAAAAAUAUACAAAUUGCUUGAUGCGUUUAAAUUUUUUAAAGAUGAGAUUUUAGAUGCAAUUCCUCUAGCAUGUAUGUGCUUCAACUUUGGACAUCGGUUUAGUAUAAUUUUCUAAAGAACCACUUGAAUUACAACUUAUCAAAAAAUAAAACCAUUUGAAUUACAAGAACUAUGUGCUU
Quercus lobata is the source of this 2722-nucleotide long non-coding RNA. RefSeq lists it as uncharacterized. The record is from RefSeq and is a predicted model, not a curated record. The transcript has 3 exons. NCBI's taxonomy places the organism in Eukaryota, Viridiplantae, Streptophyta, Magnoliopsida, Fagales, Fagaceae.